Molecule: ribosomal RNA, 253 nt
Filed under: uncultured bacterium
Lineage: Bacteria
Description: partial 16S ribosomal RNA
Rfam family: Bacterial small subunit ribosomal RNA
Source: RNAcentral
UACAGAGGUCUCAAGCGUUGUUCGGAUUCAUUGGGCGUAAAGGGUGCGUAGGUGGCGCCGUAAGUCAGGUGUGAAAUCUCGGGGCUCAACCCCGAAACUGCACUUGAUACUGCGGUGCUCGAGUACUGGAGAGGAGAUUGGAAUUUACGGUGUAGCAGUGAAAUGCGUAGAUAUCGGAAGGAACACCAGUGGCGAAAGCGGCUUCCUGGUCCAGCACCGACGUUCAGGCACGAAAGCGUGGGGAGCAAACAGG